AGCUCCAAUAGCGUAUAUUAAAGUUGUUGCAGUUAAAAAGCUCGUAGUUGAAUUUCUGGCCAGCGCUGUUCUUGGCUCUCUGAGUCGGCUCAGUGUUUGGUCAUCCGUAUGGGAAGCUAGUUCGGCCUUCACUGGUCGGCUAGUGGAUCAUACACUUUACUUUGAAAAAAUUAGAGUGUUUCAGGCAGGCAAUUGCUUGGAUACUUCAGCAUGGAAUAAUGGAAUAGGACUUUGACCUAUUUGUUGGUUUCUUGAGGUCAAGGUAAUGAUUAAUAGGGACAGUUGGGGGCAUUCAUAUUUAAUUGUCAGAGGUGAAAUUCUUGGAUUUAUUAAAGAUGAACUUAUGCGAAAGCAUUUGCCAAGGAUGUUUUCA
RNAcentral lists this ribosomal RNA (373 nucleotides) under uncultured eukaryote. RNAcentral describes it as "SSU rRNA". It matches the Rfam family "Eukaryotic small subunit ribosomal RNA", at positions 587 to 972 of the family's 1831-position model. The record is from RNAcentral.